This 512-nucleotide ribosomal RNA is filed under the name Lacticaseibacillus paracasei. RNAcentral's name for it is "bacterial SSU rRNA". It matches the Rfam family "Bacterial small subunit ribosomal RNA", at positions 284 to 787 of the family's 1533-position model. The record is from RNAcentral. Lineage: Bacteria; Bacillati; Bacillota; Bacilli; Lactobacillales; Lactobacillaceae.
UAGCCGAACUGAGAGGUUGAUCGGCCACAUUGGGACUGAGACACGGCCCAAACUCCUACGGGAGGCAGCAGUAGGGAAUCUUCCACAAUGGACGCAAGUCUGAUGGAGCAACGCCGCGUGAGUGAAGAAGGCUUUCGGGUCGUAAAACUCUGUUGUUGGAGAAGAAUGGUCGGCAGAGUAACUGUUGUCGGCGUGACGGUAUCCAACCAGAAAGCCACGGCUAACUACGUGCCAGCAGCCGCGGUAAUACGUAGGUGGCAAGCGUUAUCCGGAUUUAUUGGGCGUAAAGCGAGCGCAGGCGGUUUUUUAAGUCUGAUGUGAAAGCCCUCGGCUUAACCGAGGAAGCGCAUCGGAAACUGGGAAACUUGAGUGCAGAAGAGGACAGUGGAACUCCAUGUGUAGCGGUGAAAUGCGUAGAUAUAUGGAAGAACACCAGUGGCGAAGGCGGCUGUCUGGUCUGUAACUGACGCUGAGGCUCGAAAGCAUGGGUAGCGAAACAGGAUUAGAUACCC